AAAAAGAUAACAUUGUAAACAUUGUUAUGAUUUUUAGUCAUCAUUAUAUUAAAAUGAAAAAUGUUAACAGUGUUAUUGUGACAUUGUCAAAAUUAAAGGAAUAUUUUAUAUUUACUUUUUAAAUAUAAAUAAAUAAAAUGAGACUUUUAAAACAUAAAAUAUCAAAAUAAAAAUAAAUACAAAAAUGUAACGGUGCACAGUGAUAUUUAGUAUAAAAAAACCCAUGAAUCAAAACCAAAUUUUAAAAAUACAUAAAAAUAUACCAACAAGACACUAAUUGUCUAAUACCCCAUCAUCGCAUGUCAGGAGCAACAAUACCGUGGUGUAAAGCACUAGGCACACAUAUGUUGUGU
This 353-nucleotide long non-coding RNA is filed under the name Glycine max (soybean). Its description in RNAcentral is "long non-coding RNA (GMAX_LNC000991)". The record is from RNAcentral. Lineage: Eukaryota; Viridiplantae; Streptophyta; Magnoliopsida; Fabales; Fabaceae.